AUUGAACGCUGGCGGCAGGCUUAACACAUGCAAGUCGAGCGGGGAAAGGUAGCUUGCUACCUGACCUAGCGGCGGACGGGUGAGUAAUGCUUAGGAAUCUGCCUAUUAGUGGGGGACAACAUUCCGAAAGGAAUGCUAAUACCGCAUACGUCCUACGGGAGAAAGCAGGGGAUCACUUUUGACCUUGCGCUAAUAGAUGAGCCUAAGUCGGAUUAGCUAGUUGGUGGGGUAAAGGCCCACCAAGGCGACGAUCUGUAGCGGGUGUGAGAGGAUGAUCCGCCACACUGGGACUGAGACACGGCCCAGACUCCUACGGGAGGCAGCAGUGGGGAAUAUUGGACAAUGGGGGGAACCCUGAUCCAGCCAUGCCGCGUGUGUGAAGAAGGCCUUAUGGUUGUAAAGCACUUUAAGCGAGGAGGAGGCUCUUUUGGUUAAUACCCAAGAUGAGUGGACGUUACUCGCAGAAUAAGCACCGGCUAACUCUGUGCCAGCCGCCGCAGUAA
This 503-nucleotide ribosomal RNA is filed under the name uncultured bacterium. Its description in RNAcentral is "partial 16S ribosomal RNA". It matches the Rfam family "Bacterial small subunit ribosomal RNA", at positions 30 to 523 of the family's 1533-position model. The record is from RNAcentral.